RNAcentral lists this long non-coding RNA (757 nucleotides) under Setaria viridis. RNAcentral's name for it is "long non-coding RNA (SVIR_LNC008966)". The record is from RNAcentral. Lineage: Eukaryota; Viridiplantae; Streptophyta; Magnoliopsida; Poales; Poaceae.
AAAACCCCAAGGUAAACUAACAAUAGACUUAAGAAAACUCCAGAAACUAAGAAACUGGAAGUAAAAGGUAGGAGACAUGCAAGUUUCUCGAUAAAAAUAUAAAGGACUACCUUCACCACUAAAAGGAUCCCCAAACAAGGAAAACAUAACUACUACUACACCUUAGAAGGAAUAUCCUGCCUCUAGACAUCCAGAAGAAUCAUCAUACAAAUUUUCAAUAAGAAGUAGUCACCCAAGAUCAAAACCUUAAAUAAGCAGACCUCUUCAACGAAACCUGAUAACCUUACCCUCCUACCCUAGUUAUAAAUAAAGUUAAAAAUCCUUAAGUGGGCAGUAAUCUAAUAGAAACACUAGAUCCCAAGAACUUGAGGAUUAAAACAAAUAGGAAAUAAAUCUUCACCCACUAAACACUCGGGAUCAUCAAAAUAUUAACUCUGAAAAGCAGUAAAUAAAUACAUACCCGCACUAAGACAAAGUUAGACUCCUAGAAGAUCAUGGAUAAAAACCCUACCCAUAAGUAUAAGAUCAAAAGAUAAGACAAAGAAAAGAAAAGAACCCUAGAAACACCUUAAGUGGGGUAGCACCCCAUAUAAAGAAGAAAUAAAAUAUGUAACCCCACAUAAUAAGUACGGGAAUAAAUAUCCAAGAAAACCCAAUAAAGCUAUAAAUACAUAAUAAUAAGAGGAAUUUAUUAAAAAAGGGAAAUGAUCCCUUAAUAAAAAUAACCAACAAAUAACCCAUCCAAAGACAAGAUUUU